Molecule: ribosomal RNA, 492 nt
Filed under: uncultured bacterium
Lineage: Bacteria
Description: partial 16S ribosomal RNA
Rfam family: Bacterial small subunit ribosomal RNA
Source: RNAcentral
AGUGAACGCUGGCGGUAGGCCUAACACAUGCAAGUCGAACGGCAGCACAGUAAGAGCUUGCUCUUACGGGUGGCGAGUGGCGGACGGGUGAUGAAUACAUCGGAAUCUACUUUUUCGUGGGGGAUAACGUAGGGAAACUUACGCUAAUACCGCAUACGACCUACGGGUGAAAGCAGUGGAUCUUCGGACCUUGCGCGAUUGAAUGAGCCGAUGUCGGAUUAGCUAGUUGGCGGGGUAAAGGCCCACCAAGGCGACGAUCCGUAGCUGGUCUGAGAGGAUGAUCAGCAACACUGGAAAUGAGACACGGUCCAGACUCCUACGGGAGGCAGCAGUGGGGAAUAUUGGAAAAUGGGCGCAAGCCUGAUCCAGCCAUACCGCGUGGGUGAAGAAGGCCUUCGGGUUGUAAAGCCCUUUUGUUGGGAAAGAAAAGCAGCAGGUUAAUACCCCGCUGUUCUGACGGUACCCAAAGAAUAAGCACCGGCUAACUUCGUG